Molecule: transfer RNA, 65 nt
Filed under: Dipodomys ordii (Ord's kangaroo rat)
Lineage: Eukaryota; Metazoa; Chordata; Mammalia; Rodentia; Heteromyidae
Rfam family: tRNA
About the family: Transfer RNA (tRNA) molecules are approximately 80 nucleotides in length. Their secondary structure includes four short double-helical elements and three loops (D, anti-codon, and T loops).
Source: Rfam by way of RNAcentral
GGUGGCUCAGUGGCAGAGCUCUUGCCUUGCAUGCAUGAGGUCCUGGGUUCGAUUCCUCAGCACCA